This 301-nucleotide ribosomal RNA is filed under the name uncultured bacterium. Its description in RNAcentral is "partial 16S ribosomal RNA". It matches the Rfam family "Bacterial small subunit ribosomal RNA", at positions 509 to 807 of the family's 1533-position model. The record is from RNAcentral.
CAGUCGCCACGGUAAUACGGAGGGAGCUAGCGUUGUUCGGAAUUACUGGGCGUAAAGCGCGCGUAGGCGGUUACUCAAGUCAGAGGUGAAAGCCCGGGGCUCAACCCCGGAACUGCCUUUGAAACUAGGUGACUAGAAUCUUGGAGAGGUCAGUGGAAUUCCGAGUGUAGAGGUGAAAUUCAUAGAUAUUCGGAAGAACACCAGUGGCGAAGGCGACUGACUGGACAAGUAUUGACGCUGAGGUGCGAAAGCGUGGGGAGCAAACAGGAUUAGAUACCCCCGUAGUCCCUGUCUCUUAUAC